Molecule: ribosomal RNA, 441 nt
Filed under: uncultured bacterium
Lineage: Bacteria
Description: partial 16S ribosomal RNA
Rfam family: Bacterial small subunit ribosomal RNA
Source: RNAcentral
CCUACGGGCGGCAGCAGUGGGGAAUAUUGCGCAAUGGGGGCAACCCUGACGCAGCAACGCCGCGUGAUCGAAGAAGGCCUUCGGGUUGUAAAGAUCUUUAAUCGGGGACGAAUUUUGACGGUACCCGAAGAAUAAGCUCCGGCGAACUACGGGCCAGCAGCCGCGGUAAUACGUAGGGAGCAAGCGUUAUCCGGAUGUACUGGGUGUAAAGGGCGUGUAGGCGGGCAUGCCAGACCGUAGUGAAAUCUGGGGGGUUAACCCCCGAACUGCUUUUGGGACUGCGUGUGUUGAGUGAUGGAGAGGCAGGCGGAAUUCCCAGUGUAGCGGUGAAAUGCGUAGAUAUUGGGAGGAACACCAGUGGCGAAGGCGGCCUGCUGGACAUUAACUGACGCUGAGGCGCGAAAGCGUGGGGAGCAAACAGGAUUAGAUACCCGGGUAGUC